CCAUUAUCACCAUAUUGAGACAGGACAGGAUCAAGUGGGCAAGAGGUGGCUGCACUUCUCCUUUCCUCUCGCCCCACCACUUGCCCACUUGAUCCUGUCCUGUCUCACCUUAUCAGAUCUCUCU
This is a non-coding RNA of Pelobates cultripes (western spadefoot toad), 124 nucleotides long. Lineage: Eukaryota; Metazoa; Chordata; Amphibia; Anura; Pelobatidae. The record is from the annotation of a GenBank genome assembly.